CGCUUGAUUGUAUUCUUGACUGAUUCAAUUGAUAACGAGAGAUAAAGGUACCCCGACCAUGCCCAAAGGGGUUUAAUAACUAGUAGUGGCGUGCUGAACUGAAAAGUACGGUGAAGCUUUCGGAGCGUAGUGAGGUGAGCCAGUGCCUGUUGGUGGUCAAGUCCCAGUGGAAGUGGAAGUUGUUGGGCGUUCAGGUUGCAAAGGAAGUUGGUGGGCUAACGGUGGUCCAGGUAAGGUAGGUGGGGAAGGCUCGCCACGAGAUCGACCGAUAGCUUUGACCCAACCCCGGAAGCGGAAGUGCCAGAGAGACGAUCUUUGUGAGGCAGAGUGACAUUCCAAGGUCAGGUAUAAGGUGCUACGGGAACGAUGUCUCAAAGGUCAGUGCCAAGGGCUCAACGCGGAAGCAAUCCGCUGCUCACAGGGACCGUGCGGGCUGACGCUCUUCUCUCUCAGGCAAAGAAAUGUGAUUUUCACUUUCGCUGGUUCAAGGUAGGCUGCUUAAGCAGAGGUUGUUGUUGUUGUUGGCGUGAGUGAAGGCGUUCCUUCCGGUGGGCAUGACGAAGCUAAGCUGGAACUAAUUACGAAAGCAUAAUCGUUUUCAAGGCUAGGGAGUGAAUUCAACUUUAGACAAGUCUAGCAAAGCAGCUCAUCUGGUAACACGG
RNAcentral lists this long non-coding RNA (662 nucleotides) under Citrus sinensis (sweet orange). RNAcentral describes it as "long non-coding RNA (CSIN_LNC002049)". Lineage: Eukaryota; Viridiplantae; Streptophyta; Magnoliopsida; Sapindales; Rutaceae. The record is from RNAcentral.